CCAGGCCCAGAAGUGUAAGAUCCGGUGCCUAUCUUCAGGCGGGUGGCAAACAAACAUCACAUAAAGGAGAGUGUCUGGCUUGUGUCUUCUGGGUACGUGAUCCCCCUGACUUCAGUGUGAGAAUGUGGCCAGAGCGUCUGGGGAAGACAGGGAGAGUUGUCAGAGAGGAGUUUUGAGGAGGCCCUGAAGGCUCGCCGGCUGUUAAGGCCUGAGCUGUAGUGGGCAAGAAGAGAUGGCCAGUUCAGGUAGAGGAAGCCUGCUUUGAGCUGAAGACCGGAGGUGAAUCUGGACAGGGCUUCCCAGGACCAGUAUUUUUCCCUCUCCACCCUGGUCUUCUCCUGUAACGUGUGGCCGCCUUUUCCAGCACGGCCUCCUGCCUUCCUGGUGCACUUUUUGGAGAACGUGGUGGAAUCAGAGGUUUCUGGCUGACUCGGUGGGUGCUUUGAACCAGGAAAGGACAAGAAAGAGGUGCCACCUCCUGAGUCCUGGUUCCUGCGGCUCCGUCGAAUCUGCAGUGAAGGCCUUUGGGAAGCGUGGGUUAUGUGGGUCCAGGGGUCCCAUCCUCCCGUGGAGGCCCUUGACCUGAGGAUCACUAACUCACACCCCACCGACUUCCGGCCCCCAACAAGGGCAGUGUUCCUCUUGCUCCAUUCUGCUCUGAAGUCCCCCAAACCGCUUCCUGGGGCUGCUUAGUGAAAUACAAGGCUCAUCUCUGAGGACCUCUACAGGGCUGGAUGGGAAGGACUGAUCCACAUUCCCACCAGGAAGUUUAGCAGAACCCCCGCGUGCCACCUGGACCCCUUGGAAGGACCUGGCUCAGGCUGGACCACCUCUUGAGAGGCAGGAGCUCUGGAUUUGAUCAAGAAUUCUUUGCUGAGCAUGGUGCCUCAUGCCUAUAAUCCCAACACUUUGGGAGGCCAGUGUGGGAGGAUCUCUUGAGCCCAGGAGUUCAAGACUAGCCUGGGCAACACAGAGAGACCCCAUCUCUAAAAUAAUAAUAAUAAUAAAAUAAAAAAUUAGCAGGGCAUGGUGGCAUGUGCCUGUAGUCCCAGCUACCCAGGAGGCUGAGGCAAGAGGAUGGCUGGAGCCUGGGAUGUUGAGGCUGCAAUGAACUGUGAUUACCCCACUGCACUCCAGCCUGGGCAAAAGAGCGAGAGACCCUGUCUCAAAUAAUAAUAAUAAUAAUAAUCUUAUUUUGGAGAAUAAAGAGACCUCUGGAUUUGAGGUGCCAUUUGGGUAGAAAGAAAAGACGUUUACACCGAGAAAUAGUCUGUGUUGCCCUGAAGGAGCAGAGGGAUGCAUCGCUGGAGGUGACCUACAGUUGAAGAAGACUCAUUAUGACAGACCUUGUCCUUCUUCCUUGUGGAAAGUGUUUCCUCUGCUGCUACUGCUCAUGAGACUCUUCCCCCUCCCUGUCCCAGGGAACCAAAGGGCUUUCUACCACACCCUUUCUUGCCCCCCGCCUCCCAUGUCUGCUGUGCCUUUGUACUCAGCAAUUCUUGUUUGCUCCAUUAUCUUCCAGCCGGAUACAGAGUGAAUAGUUAACCACACUUAGGUCAAAUAGGAUCUAAAUUUUUGUUCCUGCUCCGUGUAAAGAGGCCAGUGUUUGUGUGUUGCAAGCAGCCUUGGAAUAGUAACUCUUCUCAUUUGUUUGGGAUCUGGCCACCAAGUUCCAGAAUGAUACACGGAUCAGUGCAGAAGUUCAUCAGGCUCUCGGACCUUAGGGCUGUUGGAGAAGGCUUCAGCAGCAGAACUGAUGGUGAAGGCUCGUGUUCUCCAUCCUCAACUUUCUUUGCUUCGAUCAUACACAAGAAUACAUUUGGAAGGGCAAAAAAUGAACACUGUCGUUCAUUGCAGCCGUGUUUUGUGACACAGAUGCACAGUCUGCUGUGAAGACCUUCUCUCAAGUGGCAUUUGGGAGUCCAUGCCAGAUCAUGGUGCUUCAUGAGAGACUGACAGCUAUCAGGGGUUGUGGCACUUAGUGAGGACUCUCCUCCCCCAGUGUGUGCUGAUGACACAUACACACCUGACAAUAGCUUGAGUCUUCUCUGUUCCUUUUACUCUGUAGCCAACAUACACAUGAUUUAAAACCCUUUCUAAAUAUCUAUCAUGGUUCAUCCUUGUCCAAAUGCAGAGUCAGAGCUAUUUGUACUUCAUUAUUAUUUCCAAGGCGAAUAGUUGGCUUUCUUUUUGCAAAAAUAAUUAAA
This 2207-nucleotide long non-coding RNA is filed under the name Homo sapiens (human). RNAcentral describes it as "long intergenic non-protein coding RNA 511". The record is from RNAcentral. Lineage: Eukaryota; Metazoa; Chordata; Mammalia; Primates; Hominidae.